Molecule: ribosomal RNA, 252 nt
Filed under: uncultured bacterium
Lineage: Bacteria
Description: partial 16S ribosomal RNA
Rfam family: Bacterial small subunit ribosomal RNA
Source: RNAcentral
UACGAAGGAUGCAAGCGUUAUCCGGAUUCAUUGGGUUUAAAGGGUGCGUAGGCGGACUGAUAAGUCAGUGGUGAAAUCUCUUUGCUUAACAAAGAAACUGCCAUUGAUACUGUCGGUCUAGAGUAUAGAUGACGUUGGCGGAAUAUGACAUGUAGUGGUGAAAUACUUAGAUAUGUCAUAGAACACCGAUUGCGAAGGCAGCUAACGAAACUAUAACUGACGCUGAGGCACGAAAGUGCGGGAUCAAACAGG